CUGAUGGACAUAGGAAAUUAACUUCUGUGUUUAUCUACAGAACUGGUACCACAACAGCCAGUGCCUAGCAGUACAAGACUUCUCACACUGCCAGGCCAAUGGGCCUCAACCCUGACCUGAAGAAAACACUUCUAAGGCCAAGACUGGAAUUCAGGCUCUACAGCCCAUUCAAUUCUUGGCCUCU
This is an unclassified non-coding RNA of Chelonoidis abingdonii (Abingdon island giant tortoise), 184 nucleotides long. The record is from Ensembl. Lineage: Eukaryota; Metazoa; Chordata; Testudines; Testudinidae.